CUUAAGGAGAUAGAUCUGUGCACUCCCUAUGAUGUAGAGAACGAGUGCCUCGUGCCUGCUCUUUGGUGUUUUGUGGAUAAUCUACACAAGAUUCAUGUAGAAUCCAAGGACAUCAGCAUUAUUACUGUGAGAAUGCCCAAACGCAUUCAUAACCCCAUCUGCAAACCAUGUGAUUCUUUCAAGAAGACUGACAGACACACUUUUCUGGGUAGCAUGAAGGAACACGUGGAACAGAUUAUUCAGUUGUGAAUCUGAAGAGGAAUGCAGCUGCACAUGAAAAGACUGGACGACUAUGUUUACAAAGACACUAUUCUUAAGGUUAAACGGUUGAAAUGUAAUUAUCAUGCAUUGCAUAUUUUUGUAUUUUCUGCAAUUUUAUUUAUUUUUUGACAGCAAGGAAUUGUAUUAUUUAUUUUUUCAUAACCUUUUAAAUCACAUGCUUCUAUUUAUCACAGUGCAAGAAAAGCGGUUAUUUUGCUAAUGUUGUUUUUUGUUAAAGACAUUUUACAUUCCCAAAAAGAAUCAAAUGCAUGUGUAAUCUGACAGUGGCCAAUGCAUGCUUAGUUUACAAAGGUUACAUUUGAAAGAUUGAAAGCAUGCAAAGAAACAAUUCAAAGAAAGUUAGGCCUGCUAGGAUAGAUCUAGCUUCAUUUUUUUUGUUUUCACACAAGAUUUCUGCUUUUUGACGUGACCAUUGUCAGUAUUUGAACACUAUCUCAUUUUGCGAAAACUAUGUUUUAAUGGAAGUAAUUUAAGAUGGACUGCUCUUUUAUAGUUCGAUUUUCUGAAUUAUUUGUGUUGUGUUAUUUAUUUCUGCUGCUGGGUUGAAGAUUUGUAUUUGCAAAGAUUUGUACCUUUUUUUAUAAAAGACUGUAAAGCUUCAGAUGGAAUAAAGGACUUGUAAACUGCUCAAUGAUGGUCAGACAGUAGAAGGUGAAGUUCACUUUUUGAUUACAGUACAGACAGGUCUGAAAGUGGUUUGGUGAAUGUUAUAACCAACGUAGUGUGAUUGAAGAUUAACCCAGUACCCUCCUCUCUUUAAUUUGACUUGUCUUAAUAAGCAAGGUCAUGUAUUAUUAUCCAACUGAUUUGCAACAGUUCUUUAAAAUAUUCUAUAGUGUUGCCAAUCUCUACGUCAAUAUAUUAGCUUUGGCAGUACAAUAGAACCCUGAAGUGUUCAUAUUUCUAUUCAUAAAGAAUUUUCUAUACAUAUGGCCCCAUUUGUUUAUGUCACUGAACAUUUUGGAACUUCAGUUAAUCUUCCAAAAAAACAUCUACAGUAAGUCCAGACUCCAAGCUAUUCUGAUAUGUUUAAAAGUAGUUUUAAAAUACACUGGGAACAAAAACUUAAAAUUUAUAUUAAAUAUUUAGUUGUUCCCCAGAAAAUGCCACUGCUUCACGUAGCAUGAUCAAGGACCAUUGUUGUUCUUUUACCCUAUUUUCUGAGAUCACACCUGUCUUUAGCUAUAAAAUAAACUAAUUGAUACCUCUUAAAACAUAAUACAAUGUGCCCGUCAGCCAAUGUCCUGCCUGUUCUGUGCAUCAGCGCCAUCUACUGUGGAAUAGCACAAGCACCAGCAUGCAACUCACAUGGACCAUGUCUAUUUUUACUAUGGAGUCUUCCAGGCCUUUCUAGCUGCCUCAUAAUGAGG
Long non-coding RNA from Polyodon spathula (Mississippi paddlefish), 1652 nucleotides. RefSeq lists it as uncharacterized. The transcript is spliced from 4 exons. Lineage: Eukaryota; Metazoa; Chordata; Actinopteri; Acipenseriformes; Polyodontidae. The record is from RefSeq and is a predicted model, not a curated record.